RNAcentral lists this ribosomal RNA (553 nucleotides) under Dacrymyces subalpinus. RNAcentral's name for it is "eukaryotic LSU rRNA". It matches the Rfam family "Eukaryotic large subunit ribosomal RNA", at positions 53 to 651 of the family's 3401-position model. Lineage: Eukaryota; Fungi; Basidiomycota; Dacrymycetes; Dacrymycetales; Dacrymycetaceae. The record is from RNAcentral.
GAGGAAAGAAACUAACAAGGAUUCCCCUAGUAACUGCGAGUGAAGCGGGAAAAGCUCAAAUUUAAAAUCCUUCGGGAGUUGUAAUCUAUAGAAGUGUUUUCGGUCGUUGCCUCGGACAAGUCUCUUGGAACAGAGCGUCAUAGAGGGUGAGAAUCCCGUCCUUGCCGAGCUCCCAACGUCUAUGUGAUACACUUUCAAAGAGUCGAGUUGUUUGGGAUUGCAGCUCAAAACGGGUGGUAAACUCCAUCUAAAGCUAAAUAUUGGCGAGAGACCGAUAGCGAACAAGUACCGUGAGGGAAAGAUGAAAAGCACUUUGGAAAGAGAGUUAAACAGUACGUGAAAUUGUUGAAAGGGAAGCGCUUGGAGUCAGUCACGUUGCAAGGACUCAGCCUCACGGUGUAUUUCUUUGCAACGGGUCAACAUCAAUUUUGACCGCGGGAAAAGGGUUUGAGGAAUGUGGCAACUUCGGUUGUGUUAUAGCCUCUUGCCGUACACCGCGGUUGGGAUUGAGGUCUGCUUACAGGAUGUUGACGAAAUGGCUCUAAGCGACCCG